GACGAACGCUGGCGGCGUGCUUAACACAUGCAAGUCGAACGGAAAGGCCCUGCUUUUGUGGGGUGCUCGAGUGGCGAACGGGUGAGUAACACGUGAGUAACCUGCCCUUGACUUUGGGAUAACUUCAGGAAACUGGGGCUAAUACCGUAUAGGAGCUCCUGCUGCAUGGUGGGGGUUGGAAAGUUUCGGCGGUUGGGGAUGGACUCGCGGCUUAUCAGCUUGUUGGUGGGGUAGUGGCUUACCAAGGCUUUGACGGGUAGCCGGCCUGAGAGGGUGACCGGCAACAUUGGGACUGAGAUACGGCACAGACUCCAACGGGAGGCAGCAGUGGGGAAUAUUGCACAAUGGGAGGAAGCAUGAUGCAGCAACGCAGCGUGCGGGAUGACGGCCUUCGGGUUGUAAACAGCUUUCGAAUGUGACGAAGAGUGAGUGACGGUAAUGGGUAAAGAAGCACCGGCUAACUACGUG
This 468-nucleotide ribosomal RNA is filed under the name uncultured bacterium. Its description in RNAcentral is "partial 16S ribosomal RNA". It matches the Rfam family "Bacterial small subunit ribosomal RNA", at positions 28 to 507 of the family's 1533-position model. The record is from RNAcentral.